Paramuricea clavata is the source of this 310-nucleotide non-coding RNA. The record is from the annotation of a GenBank genome assembly. Lineage: Eukaryota; Metazoa; Cnidaria; Anthozoa; Malacalcyonacea; Plexauridae.
GACAUUACUAACCAUGGAUGGGCUUUUGCGAAUAAUAUGGUGUCCAUCGUGUGGAUGGAUUUACCUCCAGCACCGGACGGCGUCUUAGAAAAUGUGCAUUGCGGGUGUAAAUCGGGAUGCUCAAACAAUAGGUGCUCUUGUUUUAAAGAAAACCUUCACUGCACGGAUAUGUGUCGUUGCGAAGGAUGCGCCAACCGUUCGGGAUCAGCGGACGAAAACUCAGAAAAUGAAGCCAAAGAUUACGAUAUUAAUCAUGAAGCCGAUAGCGAGAGCGAUAAUGGUUAUGGAGACAAUUGAAGGUGAUGUAAAG